UUACAAAUUAUGAUUUCUAACUGAUACAGAAUGAAUAUUGAGUGAUAGCAUAUUUGAAUCUUCAAAUUAUAGAUACUAUGUGAAAAUUUGGUAUUCUUUGAUUGAACAAAAUGGAAUGGAUAAUAGCCCUUGGAAGGGUCAUAAACUGCACUAGUUAAAUAGGCAAAAUAAGUUAAUACAAAAUUAUAAUUCAGAAAAUAGAAUAAAUGAAUAGUUAAAAUUAUUAUCAGGGUGGGGUUUCUCCCAAGGAAAAUAGACCUUUUGGCUAAGUACAGUGUGGAUAUUUAAAUUUAUUUAAUACAAUAAAAAUCAUUUAUGAUAACUUUAUACCCUUAACCCUUAACUGGUAUGGUCGGGUCAAAACUGACCCAGCCGACUACACUUUCUUAUCUUUUGCAGGAAUAAUCCUGUCGAUCGCCCUCUCCCCCCUUGUAUUCUCCUACUUCCGCCACCACUACAAAUUGCCAGUAUGCUCUAACUGCUCAUGCGUGUAGUUUGCGAUUUAUUAGCGUUUUGGGUCAGUUUUGACCCAGCCAUACCGUUUUUUUGGAGAUGGACUCAUACUCUAUGACAUAAAAGCACAGAAGAGACUUUUGUUCAACAGGAUGUAUUUUUUUUAUUUUUUCAAAAAUAGUAUUGCACAUUCUUGACAUGCUUCAGAUUUUUUCAACAUAAAUAUUUUUUAAACUGUAAUUUCAUAUUGUAAAUGGUCUUGGAACAACAAGUAGACUAUGUUCUUAUUUGAUUUUAAAUAUAAAUACUUAAUUAUA
Long non-coding RNA from Nilaparvata lugens (brown planthopper), 770 nucleotides. RefSeq lists it as uncharacterized. Lineage: Eukaryota; Metazoa; Arthropoda; Insecta; Hemiptera; Delphacidae. The record is from RefSeq and is a predicted model, not a curated record. The transcript has 2 exons.